GUAGGUGGCGAGCGUUAUCCGGGAAUUACUGGGGCGUAAAGGGCACGCAGGCGGCCGCGCAAGUCUGACGUGAAAGCUCCUGGGCUUAACUGGGAGAGGUCGUUGGAAACUGCGAGGCUUGAGGUAAUGAGAGGGGUGCGGAAUUCCCGGUGUAGUGGUGGAAUGCGUAGAUAUCGGGAGGAACACCAGUGGCGAAAGCGGCACCCUAGCAUUGACCUGACGCUCAUGUGCGAAAGCGUGGGGAGCAAACGGGAUUAGAUACCCCGGUAGUCCACGCUGUAAACGAUGAGCACUAGGUGUGGGUAGUGUUAAAGCUAUCUGUGCCGAAGCAAACGCGAUAAGUGCUCCGCCUGGGGAGUACGGCCGCAAAGGCUA
This 375-nucleotide ribosomal RNA is filed under the name uncultured organism. RNAcentral describes it as "partial 16S ribosomal RNA". It matches the Rfam family "Bacterial small subunit ribosomal RNA", at positions 527 to 896 of the family's 1533-position model. The record is from RNAcentral.